GGAACGCUGGCGGCGUGCUUAAUACAUGCAAGUCGAGCGAGGCCUUGGAGUUGGAGUCCUUCGGGAUGAAGAGCCCUUGGCCUAGCGGCGGACGGGUGAGUAACGCGUGGGCAACCUACCCCAAAGUCCGGGAUAACAGUGGGAAACUACUGCUAAUACCGCAUAAGAUCUUCGGAUGAAAGGUGCAACUGCACCGGUAAGAGAUGAGCCCGCGUCCCAUUAGCUAGUUGGUGAGGUAAAGGCUCACCAAGGCGACGAUGGGUAGCCGGCCUGAGAGGGUGAACGGCCACACUGGGACUGAGACACGGCCCAGACUCCUACGGGAGGCAGCAGUAGGGAAUCUUCCGCAAUGGGCGCAAGCCUGACGGAGCGACGCCGCGUGAGUGAUGAAGGCCUUCGGGUCGUAAAGCUCUGUUCUUGAGGACGAAUAAGCCAGGGAGUGGAAAGCCCUGGUGAUGACUGUACUCAAGGAGAAAGCUCCGGCUAACUACGUG
Molecule: ribosomal RNA, 494 nt
Filed under: uncultured bacterium
Lineage: Bacteria
Description: bacterial SSU rRNA
Rfam family: Bacterial small subunit ribosomal RNA
Source: RNAcentral